This 389-nucleotide ribosomal RNA is filed under the name uncultured Hymenobacter sp. Its description in RNAcentral is "bacterial SSU rRNA". It matches the Rfam family "Bacterial small subunit ribosomal RNA", at positions 137 to 525 of the family's 1533-position model. The record is from RNAcentral. Lineage: Bacteria; Pseudomonadati; Bacteroidota; Cytophagia; Cytophagales; Hymenobacteraceae.
UGGGGGAUAGCCCGCCGAAAGGCGGAUUAAUACCGCAUAUACCGGCAGCCUGGCAUCAGGGAACUGGGAAAGAUUUAUUGGUCAAGGAUGGGGUUGCGUAGCAUUAGCUAGAUGGCGGGGUAACGGCUCACCAUGGCGACGAUGCUUAGGGGACCUGAGAGGGUGAUCCCCCACACUGGCACUGAGAUACGGGCCAGACUCCUACGGGAGGCAGCAGUAGGGAAUAUUGGGCAAUGGCCGAGAGGCUGACCCAGCCAUGCCGCGUGCCGGAUGAAGGCCUUCUGGGUUGUAAACGGCUUUUCUCAGGGAAGAAAAAGAGGAUGCGUCCUAAACUGACGGUACCUGAGGAAUAAGCACCGGCUAACUCCGUGCCAGCAGCCGCGGUAAUA